GCCCCGCGCCGGCCGCGAACCCAAACAGCGGCUCCUGCUGCGCGCGGCCGCGCGUGAUCGCCGCGCCGCCGAGCCCCGCGCGCCCGCCCUCCCGGCCCGGCCCGGCCCCGCCGAGCGAUGCUGCUGCUGGCCGCCGCCUUCCUCGUGGCGUUCGUGCUGCUGCUCUACAUGGUGUCACCGCUCAUCAGCCCCAAGCCCCUCGCCCUGCCCGGGGCGCAUGUGGUGGUUACAGGGGGCUCCAGUGGUAUUGGAAAGUGUAUCGCUAUUGAGUGCUAUAAGCAAGGAGCGUUCAUAACUCUGGUGGCACGGAAUGAGGACAAGUUGCUGCAGGCAAAGAAAGAAAUUGAAAAGCACUCUAUUAAUGAUAAACAGGUGGUGCUUUGUAUAUCCGUUGACGUUUCUCAAGACUACAGCCAAGUAGAGAACGUCAUAAAACAAGCACAGGAGAAACUGGGCCCAGUAGACAUGCUUGUGAACUGUGCAGGAAUGUCACUUUCGGGAAAAUUUGAAGAUCUUGAAGUUAGUACUUUUGAGCGACUCAUGAGCGUCAACUACCUAGGCAGCGUGUACCCCAGCCGCGCCGUGAUCACCACCAUGAAGGAGCGCCGCGUGGGCAGGAUCGUCUUCGUCUCCUCCCAGGCGGGACAGCUGGGGUUAUUCGGCUUCACGGCCUACUCGUCCUCCAAGUUUGCCAUCAGGGGAUUGGCUGAAGCUUUGCAGAUGGAGGUGAAGCCAUACAACGUCUAUGUCACAGUUGCCUACCCGCCAGACACAGACACCCCUGGGUUCGCAGAAGAAAACAAAACCAAGCCUUUGGAGACUCGCCUGAUUUCAGAGACUGUAUCUGUUUGCAAACCAGAGCAAGUGGCCAAACAAAUUGUUAAAGACGCCAUACAAGGGAAUUUUAACAGCUCCAUUGGCUCCGACGGGUACAUGCUGUCGUCCCUGACCUGUGGAAUGGCUCCGGUAACUUCUAUUACUGAAGGGCUCCAGCAGGUGGUCACCAUGGGCCUCUUCCGCACCAUCGCGCUGUUUUACCUCGGAAGCUUCGACAGCAUCGUGCGUCGCUGCAUGAUGCAGAGAGCAAAAUCGGAAAUUGCAGACAAAACUGACUAAUCCGUAUCCCUGGGGAAAAGACUGUUUCUAAAUAACUGAACAGCUUGCUGCUAAAAGGGACCCGGUUUUUGGCCUACAGACACGUUCUGAAGAACACAGAAGACUGAUAUAUAAAAUAACACACCUUAAUAGCCCUGUCUUUAAAUGGGAAAAUUUGGUUUCCAUCGUGGAGAGAUUCCUUGGACAUCUUGGUUUACAAACUUGAGCAUUCUCUAAAUUUGAGCAUUGUAUAUACCAUAAGCAGCAUAUGAUAUCCCUUCUAUAAUUUUUGUAUUUGGAUGUUUAAAAAGGAGAAAAAUAUAUAUUAUGUUCCACUCCUGAUUUUAAGCCCUCGAUUUCCCUCAUUCAACAUAUACUUACUGAGCACGGCAGCCGGGCCCCUGGGGAACCUGCUCUGCGUAAAUAGUCGGUCCCUCCCAGGUGGUGAGUACGUUGCUUCUUUCUUCCCUCCCCGCUUUCAUCUCUCUGAAGGCCCUUACAAGUCUUCCUGGACUUCUUUCUUCAGCUUGGAACCUCUGGAUUUUAUGCCACAAAUGUCUGAGUGUCGGACAAUAUUCUAGGCUGGGAAAGAUACAGUCCCUGUCCUCCAACAAAACUAGCCCAUGGCGGUCACUGUCGUGAGCGCAUCACAUUGAAUUCAUCUCAAUCAUGUGCUGCCCCUCAGCGGUACGCUUCAUAGCCGCCUUCCGCGGAGGCACGGGCACAGAGAGGUUAAGUUACUAGUCCACGGUAGCAACUACUAAGCUAUGGAGCCCUUAUUCAGUUUUUGCCUAUACCCUGUCCUAACCCUCUUCCAGUGGCACAAGGGGGGCUCUGAGGACCGCGCAGGGAGGUCAGGCAUGGUCUCGGGGGGGGGGGGUCUGAAGAUGAAACUGGAGGAAUGAGGAUGAAUUCCUCUGAGAAGGUUCGGUGUGUUUCAGGUAGAAGAGCAGAUGUGCAAAGGCAAAAGGCACGAGAGAUCUUGGUGUAUUCCAGAAAGCACAGAGUUAAUAUGGCUGCAAGAAGGGAACGCAUAAGGAAAGGGGAGGGGGUACCCGGGGGGUAGAUUUGCACCAGAUCAAGCCAUGUAGAGGAGUUGCAAUGUUAGCCUCCGAAGAACUUUGGGCAGAAAUAUAAAAUGGCCAGAUUUGAGUUUUAAAAACAUUAUGGUGCCCCUUGAAAUUCAGGGGUUGCUGAACCCUGAGCCUUGAGUAAAACCAUUGUCGUUAGUUUGGAAGAUCCCAUAUUAGACACAUAUUAUUACGGGUUGAGUUGUGCACCCUCAAAAGAUGUCAUCAGUGUCUUAACCCUCAGUGCCCGUAAAUGUGAUCUUACUUGGAAAUAGGGUCUUUACCAAUAUAACUGAGUUAAGAUGAGGUUAUUCGGUUCCUAAUCCAAUAUGGUUGGCAACCUUACAAGAAGAGAACCCAGAGAGACAUGGAGAAGGCCAAGUGACAACAGAGGCAGAUCAGAGUCAGGCAGGUACAUGCCCAGGCCCCCUAAGGACUGCCAGACACCACCAGAAGCUAGGAAGGGCGAGGAAAGAUCUCUCCCUAGAGCCUUCAGAGGGAGCCUGGCCCAGCUGCACCUUGAUUUUAGACUUCACACCUCCUGAACUGUGGGAAAAUAAUUGUUUCAAGCCACCUGGCUUGUGGUACUUUGUUAUGGAAGCUCUAGGAGAUAAAAACAGUCACCUCCGUUUCUCUAAACAUGUUCAUCAAUAAGUAAUAACCGGGAGACACUGCUCUGUGCCAAAUCACGUACGAAAAUAAAAGUCAUUGCACAGAAGAAUGUCAGUUCCUUGCCUAUUUCCCCUAACACAAUGGUGUUAUCCCGUUGUUUGGGUCUGUGACUGCAUUUUGACCCAGUGAGGGCAGUAGCCAUUUGAAAAAUGUAACUCCCUGUGCUUACUUCAUUUCACUUAUAAUGCCAAGUCAUGAAUUUGAAGGGAAAAGAAUUGCCAGGAGUAUAUUUCCUGCCCUUGCCUUUGUGAACCAGAAGGAAACAGGACUUGCCUGCUAUCAAAUUCACACAGCAGAAUGAUUCACCUGCAGUUUUGGCCUAGCUGCAAAGGUUGUUGCUUAAUUGUUUCAAAUAUUUUUUGAGGUUUAGGGCCCACCGUACAUGAGUUAAGUAGGUUUGGCAGUUAAACCAAGGCCUCUUGGUUUAGAUUUGGUUAAAGUGUUUCCUUGUGAUGACAAGGAUGGUUUGAGAGCACAUAGCGGACAAAUCGUUUGCAAUCAGUCCUAUAGCAGAAGACAGGCUCUGGGGCAUUAAUGCACUGAGAACAGUGUUACUGUUAGUACCGAAUGCUAAUUGGGAAUUAGUAUUAUAAUAUUAUCCUAUAAUAAUGACCAACAACAGAUGCAACCCAUCUGAACGCACAUGAAACUGUUUAGUGUCAAGAGUUCAUAAUAUCUGAGCUGUGUGGAUUAUAUCGCAAUAAAGCUGAAAAUGAUAAUUUAGAAGACAUUUGAAACUGGAAAUUAGUAUUUUGCAUUGCUUGUCUGGGAGAUGUUUUUUAAGCAAUUCCUUUUUAUGCAGCUAUGUGACCUCUUUGUUCUUACCCUCUCUGGUCAGUUCAUUUCUUUUAUGGAUGCAUUCCACUUUAGUUUGUCUAAAUGGCUUGGGUCAUGUUUUAUAUUUUUAACUCACCUUAUCUAUUAGUCAUCAGUUCCCUCUCAGUUAAUGAAUGGGGUUUUUGUAUCCCCAUUUUAAAUAGUAAGACUUACUACAUGCCUAUAUAUAAAACAUGUAUGCCCAGAUGGGAAUAAUGUCCUUUUUGAAUUUCAUAACCCUUGGAAGUGUUUCUAUUUGUGAUGGACGAAGAGAACUUUCUGAAUGAUACUGUUAAACAUCAACCAGUAGGUGGCGAAAAUUGGCAAUAAAAAGCUUUUUGUUUGGCAGACCGGAGAAUAAAGGAAAACACAGGCCUUUCAGGCUCUUGAUACAAUCUCCCUUCCUUGCAUCUUGUUCUUUUCUCUCCCUGGUGCUACCCUACUCCGAGAAUCCAGCCAGGCAAAGCUGCCAGCGGGGUAGUCCAUUGGCUCUGAAAGGUAGAAGUUGUCUUGCGAAGUGAAAAGCCUAUAUAUAGUGCCUCCAGGUGGGAGGGUGUUGGAAGGUCUCUGGCAAGGAUCUGGGAUUCAAACCCAGGACUCCUGGCUCUGGUCAGGUCUCCCUCAACUCCCUCCCCAAUACCCAGAGACAGUUACUCCACACACUUCCUACAAUACCUGCCCUCACACUUGAGGGUGUAAGCUAAUAACCCAAUCUGAAUGGAGGAAUGGUUUCACUCUUUCGAUAUGAAGAGAAUUCAGAACAUUCCUGGGGAAUAUAUAAUCUUAGUCCAGGACUACAACGCAGCCCUGUCCUGAGAACGGCUGGGGAUGGCCAAGAUGCCCACCCCUGAAGGGGUAAGUCUGAGAAAAUCUGUCAAGUGAGGCUCUCUGGGAGCAAAGGAGAGGAAAAAAAAAAAUAAGGAGGCUUUUCUUUCUCUGGGAAUGGGGAAUCCCGUUUCCUUCUGGGGACCCCUUUGCAGAAGUACAAUCUCUUUUCCAGCUCUGUCCUCUCAUUUCCUCACUCCCAUGCUGGCUCACAGAAGCACGAAGGUUUUCAAUUCCUCUGAAGUAAUUUUGGAGGCCCAAGACAAGCUUCUGAGAAGAUCCUUCAACUAUCAUGCUGAGGCAUUAGUAUAGGUCUCUACUCUUUCUGUGAGGACAUAAACCCCAGGUCAGUCUAUACCCAAUGUUCAUCUCCAGGCCAGACCCUGCAUCACCACCGCCCACCCCAGCCCCACCACCACCCAGUGCCAUGUCUCAUGAAAAAGCAGGAAGGAGCAUCUUCCUUCAUUCCUUCUUGCUGGGAUAAGUUUAAACGAGGCACCCAUCCCUACUUGCAAGAGGUUGGCAUGUUGUUUGGUUGCCUAUGAUAAAUGGGAUGGAAAUAAUUUAUGCUUAUUUUGCUCAAGAGCACAUGCUUUGAUUUGAGGCUAGGAACGAGACAAAAUAAAUGGUGUUGGAACACGUUUGUACA
This is an RNA transcript of Mustela erminea (ermine), 5127 nucleotides long. It is a transcript of the gene named 3-ketodihydrosphingosine reductase, with no coding region annotated. NCBI's taxonomy places the organism in Eukaryota, Metazoa, Chordata, Mammalia, Carnivora, Mustelidae. The transcript is spliced from 11 exons. The record is from RefSeq and is a predicted model, not a curated record.